This is a long non-coding RNA of Oncorhynchus tshawytscha (Chinook salmon), 1639 nucleotides long. NCBI's taxonomy places the organism in Eukaryota, Metazoa, Chordata, Actinopteri, Salmoniformes, Salmonidae. The record is from Ensembl.
AUAGAGUGCUAAACCUGCAGAUAAAAUAGAGUGCUAACCUGCAGAUAAAAUAGAGUGCUAACCUGCAGAUAAAAUAGAGUGCUAACCUGCAGAUCAAAUAGAGCGCUAACCUGCAGAUAAAAUAGAGCGCUAACCUACUGGUAAAAUAGAGCGCUAACCUGCUGGUAAAAUAGAGCGCUAACCUGCUGGUAAAAUAGAGCGCUAACCUGCAGGUAAAAUAGAGCGCUAACCUGCUGGUAAAAUCAGUCAGAUAAUGGUAAUUUGGUUCAUUUCUCCCCCUCCCUGUAAGUUUGCUCUAUGGGCUGUCACUAUCCAGGCUAUCUUGAUGAAAAACAAGUGUGUGCCCUGUGGCCUAAAGCAAUGCCAAAGAUAGAGAGCUGAUAAAGAGAGGGAGGGCUGGGGUGUCUCAAUGAAGAGAGAGUGAGACUGUGAGAAGAAGAGGGGGGAGAGAGGGCUGUCUCAGUUCUCUCUGUCUACAGAAACAGCUGCUCUCCAUUGAUUACACUGGCAGUUACACUCCUAACAACCGUAUGUUUAGUGCAGAAUACUAGAGGUAAUCUUCAAUUAGACAAACCAACUGCUUUUAAAAAGAUGUACACUGCAAGGAGUAUAUGAAAUUAUAAAUAAAAAACAGAAUAAUAAUAUGUAUGCUUUCAUACAAUUUCAUAUGUGUAACCUGUCAAUGCAUUGAGGUGGUAACCUUGGUACAGUAUUUAACAUUCAGAGUGAGAUGUACACCAAGAUAUUGAUAGUCAUUCUUUGGUUUUUAUUUUUAAACAUUAUUUCACAAGUCAACAAACAUCGUACAAUAUCAAAAUCAGCUCUUAAACACAACUUUGGCUCUUGGUAUCACUAAGGUGUUGUAAUCAAAUGCGACUUCUUGCAAGGAAGAUGAGACCAGUCCACCAGUUUUAAGUUACCCUUUAAUGCAACUCCAGAUGACAUUGAGAGGUGUCAAUAGAACCCUUACCAUUGCUAAAACUCAGUAAUGGUAACGGUUAGAUUGCCACCGUCUAGCUUCCAACCGUCAACAGCUUGUGUGUGUGGUGAUAGUAUCCGGAGGGGGAAUGAGACCCUGGAUAGUACAUCAUCUAUACUGUAGUGUCACCAUAACGAACUUACAGUAUAUGAUGAUAUCCUGUCCAGGGUACAAGACUAACGAACAAUGUCCCAUGAUGACAUUGCCUAAAUGAAUAAACCUGUUGGGGAGAGAAUUAUGGAUAUUACAUAUCAAAUAAAUACACAAACAAAUAUGUACAGAAACAGGGUUGAGUCAAUAUGUUAUCAAUGUGUUAUAACAUAUUCUGAGAAGUCAACCACCCAAGGAAUGAAUACAAUAUGCAUGUUAUAUUACAGAAUGAUAUUUUCUCAGACAACAAAUUCACACAUGAUCCACAUCAAUUUCUUAAUCAAAUCUAUUGAAGUCCUAUUGCAAGACGAACCAAGUUCAGGUCCCACAUUGCAUUAUAUACCGAUACCAUGUACAUGAGUUUUCUUUUUGUAAUUGCUUGUAGUUAACUAAAAGAAACCACUUGCAGAGCAUCUUAAUAGAGGACUUUCUCUAAACCACUAAACAUCAGCUCUCUCCCCUAAUUAUCCCCUUCAAAUGAAGCCCAAUUGACAACUUCAGAGGUUUAGC